AACGCACCUUGCGCUCCUUGGUAUUCCGAGGAGCACGCCUGUUUGAGUGUCGUGUAAUUCUCAACCUAUCAGCCUUUGCGGGCUUGGUUAGGCUUGGAUAUUGGAGGACUAUCGUCGGCUUGUUUCAACGAGUCGGCCCCUCUCAAAUGCAUUAGCUUAGUCCCUUGCGGAUCGGCUCCCAGUGUGAUAGUUUAUCUACGCUGCGACCGUGAAGCGUCCUAUGGCGAGCUUCUAACGGUCUCUUUAAUGAGACAAUAACACUUUGACAUCUGACCUCAAAUCAGGCGGGACUACCCGCUGAACUUAA
Molecule: unclassified non-coding RNA, 307 nt
Filed under: uncultured fungus
Lineage: Eukaryota; Fungi
Description: partial contains 5.8S rRNA and ITS2
Rfam family: 5.8S ribosomal RNA (bases 1-52)
Source: RNAcentral